GUUUUUUAUUCAACUUACCAAAGGAAAAUGGAUACGAGGAUAUGGAACUAAAUUUGUUUGAAAUUCGGUCUGUCGAUGUUCAAGUUCCUUCUACACAGCUCAUAAAUAGCCUACAAAAUGCAGUUAAUCAUUAAUGAACUAACAUCAAAGAUAUUAUAGCCGAUGAUAAUCGGCGGACAAUUGUUCCAUCAAUAAGCUUGAAAAUCCUGAUCCUGUACCACCACCGAAUGAAUGGAAAAUUAAAAAACCUUGCAAACCUUUGCACAUUUCGGUGAGCCUUCGAAUUCGAUCCAAAGUGAGAUCUAUGAUUUCUUUCCCUGAAAAUAAUUAAUUGUUCUGGAUGAAACAACUGCCUGUACGUACCUGUACGAACUUCAUCUAAAAUAUCAACAGUUCAAACAUAGGAACUAAUUAAUUGUUCUGGAAAAACAUUGAAACUUUUCACACGGUAACUUGCCUACUACUGUUGGUUCAAG
This is a long non-coding RNA of Osmia lignaria (orchard mason bee), 476 nucleotides long. RefSeq lists it as uncharacterized. The record is from RefSeq and is a predicted model, not a curated record. Lineage: Eukaryota; Metazoa; Arthropoda; Insecta; Hymenoptera; Megachilidae.